ACCCGGCCGAAUUUACUGUUUUUACAUUCCUUAUAGUAUGCUUGAACGUUGAAUAAACAAUAAAGUUCUAAAGACAAUAUUUUAGCUUGAUAAUUGAUCUGUAAUUGUGUCUACUGAUAUAUUGAAAAAUUUACCUUAUCACGAGAAAAUGAAUUUUUCGUGAACGCUUUUCUCGGUCUAAAAUCCGUAUAAACUCGCUAAUUAUGCAACGCAUAGACAUGAAACUUUAACCAGUAGUGAAUAAUGCAUUACUCUUCAAUACUGUCUGCCAAUUUUUCAAUUAAAUAGAUAAUUUUUGAGAAAUCUGUAAUAUUGAAUUUCGUAAGUAAACCGGGCAAGCGGGUGUCUGCGCGGGCGACGAGGAGCAUUCGCCUCUCGGCCGUUGUAUGAGGACCUUGUGUCGUUUGAUGCGACGCGCGCGCAUUUAUUGUUUAUUAUUUUAUUUUUAUUGACCCCACAAUUUUGACAUUUGUGUGAUAGGACACUGUAGACACUUUAGUUUUACAAGUGAACGAAAGGACGCAUUUACUUAUUUGCUUGUGCAAAUACUGUUUAUUUAGUUUUAUAAGCGAGCGAAAGGACGAAAUAACUACCUAUUUGUUUACUUGUGUAAAUUGAAUAUGCCGAAAGUAUCAAAAGUGAAAUGAUAUCAGCAACAAAGGCUCACGGAAAUAAAAAUCGCAGUAGCUCAAAGAAAAAGACAGGUACUACAACAACUCGAUGGAAAUAUAGAAAACCAAGAUUUAACUUCAGAAAAUUGUCAACUUCGAACUUGCGAUGUCACACAGACUACCUUCAAAAAAGUGCCACAAGGUCUAGAUUUAACUACGCCUAUGGCACAUAAGAAUAAGUUUGCAGAGUCAACUAAUGGGUUUAAUUCAACCUAUUGUCAGGGAUUAGAAAGUGAAGAAAAAGAGGUAUUUCCAUUUUAGUUAUCACUGUAUUAUUUUACCUUUCACAUUUUCUUUCUGGUAAACAAAUAAAAUAUGUGUUCAACUUUUUGUUCUCGAUUCAGUUAUUUUUUUAAUUUCAGUAUACUGUUACU
This is a long non-coding RNA of Melitaea cinxia (Glanville fritillary), 1045 nucleotides long. RefSeq lists it as uncharacterized. NCBI's taxonomy places the organism in Eukaryota, Metazoa, Arthropoda, Insecta, Lepidoptera, Nymphalidae. The record is from RefSeq and is a predicted model, not a curated record. The transcript has 3 exons.